Molecule: ribosomal RNA, 292 nt
Filed under: uncultured bacterium
Lineage: Bacteria
Description: partial 16S ribosomal RNA
Rfam family: Bacterial small subunit ribosomal RNA
Source: RNAcentral
GUGUCAGCAGCCGCGGUAAUACAGAGGUCCCAAGCGUUGUUCGGAUUCACUGGGCGUAAAGGGUGCGCAGGUGGGUUGGCAAGUUCGAUGUGAAAGCCCCGGGCUUAACCCGGGAAUGGCAUUGGAAACUGCUGAUCUGGAGGAUCGGAGGGGGGACUGGGAUUCUUGGUGUAGCAGUGAAAUGCGUAGAUAUCAAGAGGAACACCAGUGGCGAAGGCGAGUCCCUGGACGAUACCUGACACUGAGGCACGAAAGCCAAGGGAGCAAACAGGAUUAGAUACCCCGGUAGUCC